GUAUUAGGGUUUUAAAGGCAAUAAAUGCCCAACAUAACAUUCUUUGUCAUACAUUUGUGAAAAAGACAUAGACCAAAAAGACAGGCAAAGGAAAGCUGGCCCUUUUUUGUAUGAAGGCAGCAGCAACCCCUUCAACCGAGUUUGACCUCGGAAAGGUAGUCCCCAAAAGUCUACAGAAGGUGCACAGGUGGUAAAAGAAGUUGGUGCCAGGCGUGCACAUGCCCCCUUUCGGGAACCAGCAUCAACCCGACCAAGUUCAUUCAAUAAUGAUCCUUCCGCAGGUUCACCUACGGAAA
This 296-nucleotide unclassified non-coding RNA is filed under the name uncultured fungus. RNAcentral's name for it is "sequence contains ITS1". The record is from RNAcentral. Lineage: Eukaryota; Fungi.